UCUUAUUAGAUGCAUUUUUGCAGUGAGCUAAUGACAUUACUUCAGAAAGUACUUAUACAUUUGAAAAUGUCCUACAAACAGUGGUGAUUUUCAUAAACAUUUACAAGGAUUUACAUACAGUUCCUGACCACCUAGAGGAUUUCUAAUUCAGCAAAGAGUGAGAAUCAUAGAAAAAAAUUUCACAAAGUAAUGUAAUUAUCUUCCAGAAAGGUUUCGCAUAGAAUAAUUCCUGACACAGGGACACCUAAUCUGUCUGUCUCUAACUGCAAACAUCUAUUCAGUGCCAGCUCUGUGCAUAGCUUUACCUGUCCCUUAAUUAAAAAUAUGGAAGGAAGAGACAAGAUCUCUACUGAGACAGAUGGGAAGAAAGAAGCAUACUCCAGCAGAACUUUAAGAAAAUAAUGAGCAACUUUAAAAGACUAGCAAGAUUGUGCAGUGGUGAAUAUGAAGAAGAUCUGCCGGAGCCAGGUCUUGGGGUGGCCGUAAGGAAAUCCAUGAGCCUUUACCACACACGCAGUGGUGAGUACCCAGUCGUAUUAGUUUCCUUCUCCGCCUUCACAGAAAUAUAUAUGUGUAUAUAUACAGUUUUCUUCAGUGGGACAUCUUCCACCUCCCGACCACCUCCUCAACUCUCUCCUGCCCAGCAGAGAAUUAAUCAUGGAGUAAGAAGGGGAAUGAAGAAGCAAGAUACUAUACAAAUCUAACAAAUUAAUAAAAGAAAGAAACUAAGCGUCCUGUUCAGAGGGAUGUUGCAGCAUCCAGGGCAAGGAGUUGAAGCCAGUUUGCGGACUGGGAGGGGGAGGGUGAGGCCAUCAACAGCGCUCAGGAAGUAUCCACGCGGAGGGAGGGCGGGCUCUGUGCUGGUCCUGAGAAGGAGGCAGGCAUGCGUGAGCCUUUACUCAAAAGGCAUUCACAAGACUAGGAAUGCGGUGAGAAGAGCGCUAAGCCGAGCCAGACUUGAGUC
This 964-nucleotide long non-coding RNA is filed under the name Ailuropoda melanoleuca (giant panda). RNAcentral's name for it is "lncRNA (ENSAMEG00000024526.1)". Lineage: Eukaryota; Metazoa; Chordata; Mammalia; Carnivora; Ursidae. The record is from RNAcentral.